AGUGAACGCUGGCGGUAGGCCUAACACAUGCAAGUCGAACGGCAGCACAGUAAGAGCUUGCUCUUACGGGUGGCGAGUGGCGGACGGGUGAGGAAUACAUCGGAAUCUACUUUUUCGUGGGGGAUAACGUAGGGAAACUUACGCUAAUACCGCAUACGACCUACGGGUGAAAGCAGGGGAUCUUCGGACCUUGCGCGAUUGAAUGAGCCGAUGUCGGAUUAGCUAGUUGGCGGGGUAGAGGCCCACCAAGGCGACGAUCCGUAGCUGGUCUGAGAGGAUGAUCAGCCACACUGGAACUGAGACACGGUCCAGACUCCUACGGGAGGCAGCAGUGGGGAAUAUUGGACAAUGGGCGCAAGCCUGAUCCAGCCAUACCGCGUGGGUGAAGAAGGCCUUCGGGUUGUAAAGCCCUUUUGCUGGGAAAGAAAAGCAGCAGGUUAAUACCCCGCUGUUCUGACGGUACCCAAAGGAUAAGCACCGGCUAACUUCGUG
Molecule: ribosomal RNA, 492 nt
Filed under: uncultured bacterium
Lineage: Bacteria
Description: partial 16S ribosomal RNA
Rfam family: Bacterial small subunit ribosomal RNA
Source: RNAcentral